UUAAGUAUUUUCAUUCGUGUCCCUACAGUCUCAAGUAUCAACCACGUGUGAAUUGUGAUAUACUUGAGUUCUUCCGAGGGAGACAAUUUGGGGCUUGAAGCUUACUGGAACUCUACCAGCUAUUUUCAACAUGGAAAACUUUAGUCUCCAUUUUCUUAUUUUCAAGUUACAUAGUAAUUUACUCUUUCGCUCACUUACCCUAUGUAUUUUCUUUCCUCCAACUGUUUUUGGCCUUGACACAAACUCAAAUCUUUUCCAAAUGGAAGAAGCCCGGUGGAUAAUGCUCCACCAAAAUCUCAGAGAUGGAAGAUUGAAGAAAAAAAUGGUGAAGAAAGAUGUCAAUACACAUCUUGAAGGCGGGCGGGGUGGGGGUUCCCUAACGUCAUGGGAAGUGGAGACAAGGUUUGGAUUGUGAUAAUCUAAGCAUAAUAAUGGAAGGGUGUUGAAUCAAGAUUGUGGGUGACCGAGAAAGUAGUGAACUUGGUCUAUUUGAUCAGUCUCAUUCUUCAGGGUAAGCAGGGAGGAGACCCAGAUUUGUAGAAGUCGAUAAGCAGAGUGUCGAAAGCACCCCAUUAUUCCGGAGGUGUCAUUGAUUUAUCAUUUUAUGUACAUGUAUGUUUCGGGCACGACGGGGUCCUGUCCUGUCCAUAUGUCUAGCAUUCUAGUAGUGGCUCGUAGAUACGUAUGUGUGGGUAAUAUGGUCUUGCGAUUUUGAUAAAUGUAUAUAUGUAUAUAGGUAUGUGUGUAUUACUUUGAUAGCCGAAGGGCUUAUGCAUAUAAAGGUAAUUAUGUUUCCAAAUGAAAAA
Molecule: long non-coding RNA, 806 nt
Organism: Lycium barbarum (goji berry)
Lineage: Eukaryota; Viridiplantae; Streptophyta; Magnoliopsida; Solanales; Solanaceae
Exons: 3
Source: RefSeq, a predicted model, not a curated record